AUCACCCAAUUCAACGACUGUCUGCAGUGACGAUGAUCGUCGCGCUUUCGCUUGUCGUGGGUGAACGAGGGCGCUCCCCAUGACGGGUUGAGCGCCCUCGGCUUG
This 105-nucleotide small RNA is filed under the name Sinorhizobium meliloti 2011. RNAcentral's name for it is "putative ncRNA". Lineage: Bacteria; Pseudomonadati; Pseudomonadota; Alphaproteobacteria; Hyphomicrobiales; Rhizobiaceae. The record is from RNAcentral.